UACCGAGUGGCGGACGGGUGAGUAACGCGUGGGUAACCUGCCUCAUACAGGGGGAUAACGGUUAGAAAUGACUGCUAAUACCGCAUAAGCGCACAGUACCGCAUGGUACGGUGUGAAAAACUCCGGUGGUAUGAGAUGGACCCGCGUCUGAUUAGGUAGUUGGUGGGGUAACGGCCUACCAAGCCGACGAUCAGUAGCCGACCUGAGAGGGUGACCGGCCACAUUGGGACUGAGACACGGCCCAA
RNAcentral lists this ribosomal RNA (245 nucleotides) under uncultured bacterium. RNAcentral's name for it is "partial 16S ribosomal RNA". It matches the Rfam family "Bacterial small subunit ribosomal RNA", at positions 89 to 334 of the family's 1533-position model. The record is from RNAcentral.